Molecule: ribosomal RNA, 229 nt
Filed under: uncultured bacterium
Lineage: Bacteria
Description: partial 16S ribosomal RNA
Rfam family: Bacterial small subunit ribosomal RNA
Source: RNAcentral
CGCGCAGGCGGUUUGGUUAGUCAGAUGUGAAAGCCCGGGGCUCAACCCCGGAAGUGCAUUUGAUACUACCUAACUUGAGUAUGGGAGAGGGAAGUGGAAUUCCUGGUGUAGAGGUGAAAUUCGUAGAUAUCAGGAGGAACACCGGUGGCGAAGGCGACUUCCUGGACCAAUACUGACGCUGAGGCGCGAAGGCGUGGGGAGCAAACAGGAUUAGAUACCCUGGUAGUCC